GACGAACGCUGGCGGCGUGCCUAAUACAUGCAAGUUGAGCGCUUAAGGUUGGUACUUGUACCAACUGGAUGAGCAGCGAACGGGUGAGUAACGCGUGGUGAAUCUGCCUUUGAGCGGGGGACAACAUUUGGAAACGAAUGCUAAUACCGCAUAAAAACUUUAAACACAAGUUUUAAGUUUGAAAGAUGCAAUUGCAUCACUCAAAGAUGAUCCCGCGUUGUAUUAGCUAGUUGGUGAGGUAAAGGCUCACCAAGGCGAUGAUACAUAGCCGACCUGAGAGGGUGAUCGGCCACAUUGGGACUGAGACACGGCCCAAACUACUACGGGAGGCAGCAGUAGGGAAUCUUCGGCAAUGGACGAAAGUCUGACCGAGCAACGCCGCGUGAGUGAAGAAGGUUUUCGGAUCGUAAAACUCUGUUGGUAGAGAAGAACGUUGGUGAGAGUGGAAAGCUCAUCAAGUGACGGUAACUACCCAGAAAGGGACGGCUAACUACGUG
RNAcentral lists this ribosomal RNA (497 nucleotides) under uncultured bacterium. Its description in RNAcentral is "partial 16S ribosomal RNA". It matches the Rfam family "Bacterial small subunit ribosomal RNA", at positions 28 to 507 of the family's 1533-position model. The record is from RNAcentral.